Dromaius novaehollandiae (emu) is the source of this 2679-nucleotide long non-coding RNA. RefSeq lists it as uncharacterized. The record is from RefSeq and is a predicted model, not a curated record. Lineage: Eukaryota; Metazoa; Chordata; Aves; Casuariiformes; Dromaiidae. The transcript has 3 exons.
CGGGGAGGAGCCGCGGGUCCCGGCCCGGGAGAGGCGCCCGGCAGCGCCCGCUGCCUCUGCCCGACCCCAUCCCGCCCGGGCCACCGCCGCUGGCCCCCACCGCGGCCUCGGCCGCCCCUCGGGGCCCCUCAGCGCGGCCCCCCUUCUCGUUAUUCCCGUGGUCCCUGAGCGCUUCCCUGCUGCUCCCUUCCCCGAGAAGCUGCCGGUCCCCGCCCGGCGCCCGGGUCCUGCGCUGCGCCCCAGGCGGGAGCGGCCGGCGGGGCUCCGGCGCCAGCCCGGGCGCUCGGUGCCCGGGAACCUAAGGCCGAGCCAGAAACCCUCCAGAUGUUUUCAUUCCUUUGCAGAGUUCCUGGCUCCUGCCUGAUGUGUUCCUUUCCCCGCAGCCAUCUCUGGUUUCCUUCAGUGCUUGUUAUUUGUUCCAGCCUGGUUCCGCGCGGGCGCUGGCGCCUGCUCUCUGUUCUGGGGGAUGUCCUCGCUGCAGACCACCCCUUCCUAGCCGGUGUGGUUACCCCCAGGGCCGCGGCGAGGCCGUGCCUGGUGCGAGCCAGGUGCCGCGAUGCCGGUCGGUCCCAGCGGGUGAGCGCAAAGUCCUGCUCGCUGGAGCACAGUAAACGGACAGGAGGUGUUUCCUUGUGCCGGCACUCCAGCGGGUCCCGCCUGGCAGCCCCGGGCUGGUUUGACGGCGGGGCACCUACGCGGAAACUGGUACCACCAGCUCCAGCUGGGCACGGCCACCCCCAGGACACCAGUUACACCACUCUGCUCCCCGUGUCUCAGCUGGGUGCCCAAAGCUCCCAGCGUCACCUUGUCCCACGCCUGCCCGGCAGGACUUCUGGAGCAAACCACAGGUGCUUUCCACGGUGGAAGGCAGACGUCCAGCCGGGAACAGGUACGAGGACAGAGAAGGCAAAGGUUAGAACCAAAGAUAAAAUACACAGCGCUGCCCGGGAGACUUUCCUGCCCGUGUGUUUCCGCAAGUCCCUUCGCCCUCCUGUGACAGCCGCCCAUUUUAUGUGGAGCUGUUUCUGUUUCCGCUCUGCCAGUUGUUGGUCAGUUCAAAGGUCUUUUCCAGGGAGGUGACACUUUCUGCCUUCACAUAUUCUUUGUGGAAUUCUCCUGUUUUUGUAUUCACAUGUGCUGGACACGUCCUUAGCUGGACGUUGCUGUGUCCCUGGAUUGACUCCGCUCUUCAAGUGUAGGCAGCUCAUACGGAAAUCUUUAAGAUCCUUUUAGCUUGUGACACCUUGACUUCUUGGGACACGUUACAGGAGUGAAGCUCUUGCCCAAACAGGAGACAGAGGUGCUAUAGGGUCAGUAGAUGCUCCCGCAGCAUCGUACUGUCUCUGUAUCCUUACUGCCCCCUCGUCCCUGCUGCCCUGACGAUGCCUCCGUGUCCCACUGCCUCUUCCCUUGCCCCGUCAUCCCCAAUGCCUCCUCCACAUCAGAGUAAGCCUCCUUUUGUUCCUUCCCCGACUUCAUUUUUUCUUGCUGGAUAAUGUAUUGUAGGACAUAUUUGUCUUGCUGGUUCAUUUUCAGGCACAACUAACAUGAUCCUUGUUCAUCUGGUUGUCCUGACUGUCAGGUACCAACAGGCAGGGGAAACCUGGUCCGUCCAUAGUACACCUUUUCUGCGGUAAGGACAGAGCCUCACUGUCCCGCUCAGGCUCAAACAACCGGGCUGUGGUAAAGCAGGGAGCCAGACCUGAGUUUUCGGUGCCCAGCGCUGCCCAUUGGGUGCUGCUGAAGGGUGACCCCCAGGCCCUCGUCUCCACGAGACCGGAGGGGGCUUUGCGCCGGGCAUGCAUUUCGAACCCGGGUCUCCCCUGACCGGCACCGGGUGCUCUGGAGCAGAACCCUGCCUGUGUCUUGCCCCAGGAGCUGGCUGCUGUUUUCUUCACCAGUCUCCAAGAGGCAGUUUCCACCUGGGAUCCCCUAAUGUGUGGCCUGCUGCAGAGAGCCUCUGUCACGGUCUGUCCUGAGGCCUUUCUCAGGUUGGUUCUGUGCUUUGUCUCACCUUAUCCCACGACCAGUUUGCAGUCGUGGACCUAGUCUGGGGAUGAUGUGCCUGCAUCCUGCAGCACUACGCUGCAGAGAGAGCGCUGCCGCCUUUACCCCAUCUUUCCGUGGACUCCUCCCUGGCUGCCUGAGCGUGGGAACACCUCCAGAGUGCCUCCGUUUGGGCUGGGACACGAGCCUAAGGGGGUCGGGAGGUCUCAGGUAGUGAGACUGGAUGAGGAGGGGUCUGUAGGUACAGACCGUGCUGGCCUGUGGCAUUCAUGGUGCCACAGGAAGGCUUUGCGGCUUGCAUGGGUUUUGCUCCGUCAGAGGGACUGGAGAGGAGGAGGGACUAGUCCUGCUCAGCAGGCGCUGGGCAACAGGGUGUUCACAAAUGUGGAACUUGGGGUUCUUUUCAGAUCUCAUUCAGUUUUAUCAGUUUGAUGAUUACAGCUGGCCCUGGGCACCGCUGCAACAAGGACUCUGGUUUGAACCACUCCGACAUACUUUUACAGAUGUUUUGACUGGAAGGAAGACAGAGGCCCUGAAAGUUGCUUCAUAGUGGCAGUCCAGAGGGGCCCAUUUUGCAGUGAUGUGCACUGGCCAGAAGCCCCUUGUUUUAUUCAGUGUGGGUCCCCAGUGCGUAUUAUUUUGAGUGUUCUCUGCACACUAUAAAGCUGUGUC